UCGUAAGUUUUUACAAACGCAGACAGUGGAUGCCUUGGUGUAACCUACCGAAGAAGGACGUACAUGGUCGCGAUAGUCGUCGGGGAGCUGCCACGAAGCUUUGAUCCGACGGUGUCCGAAUGGGGAAACCCAGCCAGUUUUACUGGCUACGCCAGAGCCAAGAUGUCUUGCACAGUGUGCAUAAAACUGGAAUCUACAAAUCUACAAAUUUCAAAUCUGCAAAUAAAUAUACAAAUGAUUAAAUGAAUUAAAUCAUUUAAAAAUUAAAACAUUUAUUUGCUUAUUAUGAACUUGCUUAUUUGCUUAUUCCAGAGUUUGUGCCUGCUAUGCAGGACAUAUAACUCUGGUUGUGGAAACCACCUGAACUGAAACAUCUAAGUAAGGUGAGGAAAAGAAAUCAACGAGAUUGCCUAAGUAGCGGCGAGCGAAAUGGCAAGAGCCUAAACUCGCCUUGUGCGUUGCACAAGAACGAUAAUCUACAAAUUUCAAAUCUGCAAAUAAAUAUACAAAUGAUUAAAUGAAUUAAAUCAUUUAAAAAUUAAAACAUUUAUUUGUAAUUUGCUUAUUUGUUUAUUUGCUUAUUGUAGUUCUCGCGCAGCGCGCGAGGUGGGGGUUGCGGGACUCUAAUAUGGGAGUGAUUGAAGUAGCAGAAUGGCAUGGAAUUGCCAACCAUAGAUAGUGAAAGUCUAGUAUGCGAAAUUUCAAUCACCCCUAGGAGUAUCCCAAGUACCACGAAGCACGUGUCUUUGUGGGAAUCUAGGGGAACCAUCCUCUAAGGCUAAAUAUAGGUUGCAACCGAUAGUGAACUAGUACCGCGAGGGAAAGGUGAAAAGAUGGGCGAGACGCCCAGUGAAAUAGAACCUGAAACUGUUUGCGAACAAACCAACAGAGCUUGUGCGUAGCACAAGAAUUACAAAAUCUACAAAUCUGCAAAUCUACAAAUAAAUAUUCAAAUGAAUUAAUUCAUUUAAUGAUUAAACAAUUUGGAAUUUAUUUGCUUAUUUGAAUUUGCUUAUUUGUUUAUUGUAGUUCUCGCGCUGCGCGCGAGUGAUGUCGUGCCUAUUGAAGAAUGAACCGGCGAGUUGCCGUUUAGUACCAGUCUAACCCCAUUAUUGGGGGAAGGCGUAGCGAAAGCGAGUCUUAAAAGGCGAUCAGUACUAGGCGACAGACCCGAAACCGAGCGAUCUAACUAUGAGCAGGGUGAACUCCGACUAGCGUCGGAGGGAGGCCCGAACCCGUCUGGGUUGCAAUCCGGUGGGAUGACUUGUGGUUAGAGGUAAAAUGCCAAACGAGCUCGGAGAUAGCUGGUUCUCCCCGAAAGGUCUAUAGGGACCGUGCCCCGCAACAAUACACUGAUGGUAGAGCACUGAAUGGGUAGGAGAGCGCAAGCAAUUUUACUCAAUCAAACUCCGAAUAGCAGUGUAGAAAGCAGGGUAGACAGUCAUAUCGGGCUAAGCUGAUAUGGCAAAAGGGAAACAACCCAGACUUUCGUCUAAGGCCUCUAAAUUUACUUUAAGUUUAAAAGGAAGUUUCUUCCCAUAAACAGCCAGGAGGUUGGCUCAGAAGCAGCCACCCUUUAAAGAAAGCGUAACAGCUCACUGGUUGAGGGAGGGGGCGCCAAAGAUUUAUCGAGGAUUAAAAGUAAUGCCGAAGACAGAGAUGCUUGUGCUUUGCACAAGAAUUUUCAAUGUUUAAUUUUUAAUUUUCAUUGAAUUUUCAAUUAAUUAAUUUUCAAGUUUGAAAAUUGAACAAUUGAUAUUUGAUUGUAAAUUGAUAAUUGUAAAUUGGAAUUUCUCGCGCAGAGCGCGAGUGUGGUAGGGGAGCGUUCCGACUGCAGUGAAGUUGAACUGUAAGGUUUGAUGGAGCUGUCGGAAGUGAGAAUGCCGGUAUGAGUAGCGUACAAUCCCUGUGAGAAUCAGGGACACCGAAUACCCAAGGUUUCCGUCGCUAGGUUCGUCCACGACGGGUUAAUCGGUACCUAAGGCGAGGCCAUAAUUUAUGGCGUAACCGAUGGAUAACUAGUUAAAAUUCUAGUAUUUGAUUUGAAUCGUUAUUAACUGGGGGAUGACUAGAUUGGAGGAUUAAAGCCAAUUUGUGAAAUUUGGUAUAAGCUGCUAGGUAGUGCUGGUUGGAAAAUCCGCUAGCGUGAUUAAUCGAGCAGUGAUGUAAAGUCCUACGCGAGUGGGGCAAUUUUAACCCCUUCAAUCUACGAGAAAAGUCUCGCAGUGAGAGUCAAAUCAAGCCGUACCGCAAACCGACACAGGUGGGUUGGUAGAGAAUACUAAGGUGAGCGAGAGAAGGAUGUUCAAGGAAUUCGGCAAAAAAACUACCCGUAACUUCGGGAGAUGGGUUUCCUGAUGGGCGCAAGCUUGUCAGGACUCAGCUAAAGUUUACUAGUCGACUGUUUAUCAAAAACACAUGUCCCUGCAAAGUCGAAAGACACUGUAUAGGGGCUGACGCCUGCCCAGUGUUGGUAAGUUAAGCGGAUGGGUGGUACGUUCAUGCGCAAGCACUGAAUGUACUGCUUUGAAGUUAAGCUCCAAUAAACGGCAGCAGUAACUAUGAAUAAGUCGUAGUUGAGAAUGACUCACAUUUUGUGAUAUUCGUCAUUCCGUCCCGCAUUGCGGAACGAAAAAGUUGACUAUAUGCUGGAAAGUCCGUACCGUACAACUCCGAUUUAAUCGGAGCAAACGGUUGAAGUAUCUGACGUUACCAUGUAAAAUGGUGAUAAUGCGUUCAGUGCGGGCAAUCAGCAGGAAAGACCUUUCAGGAAAAAAUUUAGGAUAUUUUCUUGCAGGAUUUGUUGAAGGAGAGGGAAGUUUUAAUGUCUCUUUACGAAAAAAAGUUGACUAUAAAGUUAACUGGCAGGUUGUAAUGAGCUUUAAUGUUUCCCAAAAAGACCCUUCAAUCUUACAAGUACUUAAAAGAGAACUCGAUUGCGGGAUUAUAAAAGUCCGCAAGGAUGAUCUUUUAUAUUCGUACGAUGUAACAAAACCUCAAGAUAUAAUUCUAAGAAUAAUUCCUUAUUUUCAAAAGUUUCCUCUUUUAUCCGAAUCAAAAAGAAAGAAUUUUGCAAUUUUUUGCAAAAUUGCUCGGAUCAUGGAUGGAGGGGGACAUAAAGUCUUAUCUGGACUUCGAAAGAUUCUCGAAUUAAGAGAAUUAAUAAAUGAAGGGAAGGGUAGAACCAGAAAAUAUGGAAUUAAAGAUGUUUUUCCUGAUUAGGAAUCCUCAGAGACUAUACGUCAACCUCCGAUUAAAUUGGGGAUGAUAUAGUCCGAUCUCAUGGGCGACCAUGAGCGACGUAACCAAUCGUCUAUAUAACAACGUGAACUGUUCUACGGUAGCGAAGUUCCUUGUCGGGUAAGUUCCGACCCGCACGAAUGGCGUCACGAGCUAGUAACUGUCUUGAACAUUCACUCGGCGAAAUUGCGGUGGCUGUGAAGACGCGGCCUAAUUCCACCAGGACAAAAAGACCCCGUGGAGCUUUACUGUAGUUUGACAUUGCUUUCAUAUUUUUUGAUUGUCAAGAAUAGGAGGGAGAGAAAUCGACAGUGUGAUACCUCUCUUUGAAAAAUAUGAGGCUUACUCAAUUCCGAUGAAUACUCGGGAGGGGAAAGUGUUAGAUGGGCAGUUUUACUGGGGCGGUACCCUGCCAAAGUGUAACGCAGGGGUACAAAGGUUGGCUUACUACGGAUGGAAAUCGUAGGGAAAGCAUAAAGGUUUAAGCCAGCUUGACUGCAAGCGAGAAGUCGCGAGCAGGUGCGAAAGCAGGUCUUAGUGAUCCCCCGACUCACAAUGGGUGUGGUCGGGGCCUAACUGAUAAAAGCUACCCCGGGGAUAACAGAGUAGUCGCGCCCGAGCGUCCAUAGCGACGGCGCGGUUCGCUACCUCGAUGUCGGCUCAUCAUAUCCUGGCGCUGGAGAAGGUGCCAAGGGUCGGUCUGUUCGCCCGUUAAAAUGGUACGUGAGCUGGGUUCAGAACGUCGUGAGACAGUGAGUAGUCCAAGCGGUCUCUCUUUUAAGGCGUUUUGAUAUUCGAAGGUGGAAAUUACUUUUUGUCCAAAUUAUUAGAAUUAAAAGAUAUAAAUCUGGCUAUUUGCUGGAAAAUCUCGUUAAAUAGUUGAGUACUAGUAUAUAAUUAAUAUACCAGUGAAAAUCUCAGCUCUGAGACUAUCAGCAGGAAAGGCUAGUUCUUGAUGUCUAUUAAGGUUAGUAAUGACUAUUUUGCUGGUUUUGUUGAAGGUGAAGGAAUGUUCUACGUUGGAGUAGUUCGAUCACCCGAAACCAAAACAGGCUGGCAAGUUAUUUAUUUUUUUAAAGUAUCUCAAAAUCCAAUCGGAUUAAAAGUUUUAGAAGAACUAAAAAGCCGUUUGAAUUGCGGAUAUAUAAAAGAAAAUAGUCAAACUGAUCCAACUGACAAAUCGUUAGCAUAUAUAGUGCGCGAUUUGCCAAACUUAAGAGACAAGGUAAUUCCGUUUUUUGAAGGUAGAUUGAUUAUUAAAAGAAAUGCUUUUGAAGCAUUUAAACGUGUUUUAGAAAUUGUUAACACGAAAAAUCAUUUAACCUUAAACGGUAUUAAAGAAAUUCUUGAUAUUGCAUAUUCAAUGAAUACCAGAAAAAGAAGGGUAUCAAAGAAACAAAUAAUCAAGAGUUACAAGAAUUAGAAUCCUCACAGGCCAUACGCCAGAUCCCGAGCGACUAAAAGGAGUCGAGGGAAAGAUAUGGUCGGAUCUCUAUGGCGACAUAGAGUUAACUAUAAUGUCGGACUCUAUCCGGUGGAAUCGUUCGAGUUUUGAAGGGAGCUGGAGACAGUACGAGAGGACCUCUCUGGAGGAAUCCCUGGUGUGCCGGUUGUGACGUCAGUCGCAACGCCGGGUAGCUAUAUUCCUAAAGGAUAACCGCUGAAAGCAUCUAAGUGGGAAGCCCACCCUAAGAUUAGAACUCGUUACAGACCCCUAGAAGAAUACUAGGUUAAUCGGCUGGAAGUGGAAGACCCGUAAGGGUUUAAGCUUACCAGUGCGAAUCGGUCAAAUGACUUACGAAC
Molecule: non-coding RNA, 5043 nt
Organism: Candidatus Woesebacteria bacterium
Lineage: Bacteria; Candidatus Woeseibacteriota
Source: Rfam